Molecule: transfer RNA, 75 nt
Filed under: Candidatus Iainarchaeum sp.
Lineage: Archaea; Nanobdellati; Candidatus Iainarchaeota; Candidatus Iainarchaeia; Candidatus Iainarchaeales; Candidatus Iainarchaeaceae
Description: tRNA-Arg
Rfam family: tRNA
About the family: Transfer RNA (tRNA) molecules are approximately 80 nucleotides in length.
Source: RNAcentral
GGACCUAUAGCCUAGUCUGGAUAGGGCAACUGCCUUCUAAGCAGUAGGUCGGCGGUUCAAAUCCGCCUAGGUCCG